GAUGAAGAACGUAGUGAAAUGCGAUAAGUAGUGUGAAUUGCAGAAUUCAGUGAAUCAUCGAAUCUUUGAACGCACAUUGCGCCCCUUGGUAUUCCAUGGGGCAUGCCUGUUCGAGCGUCAUUUGUACCUUCAAGCUUUGCUUGGUGUUGGGUGUUUGUCUCGCCUCUGCGUGUAGACUCGCCUCAAAACAAUUGGCAGCCGGCGUAUUGAUUUCGGAGCGCAGUACAUCUCGCGCUUUGCACUCAUAACGACGACGUCCAAAAGUACAUUUUUACACUCUUGACCUCGGAUCAGGUAGGGAUACCCGCUGAACUUAAGCAUAUCAAUAAGCGGAGGA
This 337-nucleotide unclassified non-coding RNA is filed under the name soil metagenome. Its description in RNAcentral is "partial contains 5.8S ribosomal RNA, internal transcribed spacer 2, and large subunit ribosomal RNA". The stretch from base 1 to 120 matches the Rfam family "5.8S ribosomal RNA", at positions 35 to 154 of the family's 154-position model. The record is from RNAcentral.